This 873-nucleotide ribosomal RNA is filed under the name uncultured marine bacterium. RNAcentral's name for it is "bacterial SSU rRNA". It matches the Rfam family "Bacterial small subunit ribosomal RNA", at positions 28 to 896 of the family's 1533-position model. The record is from RNAcentral.
AUUGAACGCUGGCGGUAGGCUUAACACAUGCAAGUCGUGCGAGAAAGUAUCUUCGGAUAUGAGUAGAGCGGCGGACGGGUGAGUAACGCGUAGGAAUCUACCUAGUAGAAGGGGAUAGCCCGGGGAAACUCGGAUUAAUACCGUAUACCUCCUUCGGGAGAAAGAAGGCCUCUCUUUGAAGCUUUCGCUAUUAGAUGAGCCUGCGUAAGAUUAGCUUGUUGGUGAGGUAAAGGCUCACCAAGGCGACGAUCUUUAGCGGGUCUGAGAGGACGAUCCGCCACAUUGGGACUGAGACACGGCCCAGACUCCUACGGGAGGCAGCAGUGGGGAAUAUUGGACAAUGGGCGCAAGCCUGAUCCAGCCAUACCGCGUGUGUGAAGAAGGCCCUAGGGUUGUAAAGCACUUUAAGUUGGGAAGAAAAGUUAUUGGUUAAUACCCAAUAACCGUGACAUUACCAUCAGAAUAAGGACCGGCUAAUUCCGUGCCAGCAGCCGCGGUAAUACGGAAGGUCCAAGCGUUAAUCGGAAUUACUGGGCGUAAAGCGCGCGUAGGUGGUUUAUUAAGUUGGAUGUGAAAUCCCCGGGCUCAACCUGGGAACUGCAUCCAAAACUGAUUCACUAGAGUACGAUAGAGGGAGGUAGAAUUCACAGUGUAGCGGUGGAAUGCGUAGAUAUUGUGAAGAAUACCAAUGGCGAAGGCAGCCUCCUGGAUCUGUACUGACACUGAGGUGCGAAAGCGUGGGUAGCGAACAGGAAUAGAUACCCUGGUAGUCCACGCCGUAAACGAUGUCCACUAGCUGUUGGAGAACUAUGUUCUUCAGUGGCGCAGCUAACGUAGUAAGUUGACCGCCUGGGGAGUACGGCCGCAAGGCUA